Molecule: ribosomal RNA, 251 nt
Filed under: uncultured prokaryote
Description: partial 16S rRNA
Rfam family: Bacterial small subunit ribosomal RNA
Source: RNAcentral
ACGAGGUGUGCAAGCGUUGUUCGGAAUCACUGGGCAUAAAGGGUGCGUAGGCGGUGCGCCAAGUCAGGUGUGAAAUCCCUCGGCUUAACCGGGGAAUUGCAUUUGAUACUAGCGUGCUAGAGGGUAAAAGGGGCAAGCGGAAUUCUAGGUGUAGCGGUGGAAUGCGUAGAUAUCUGGGAGAACGCCGAGGGCGAAGGCAGCUUGCUGGUUUACUUCUGACGCUGAGGCACGAAAGCUAGGGGAGCAAACAG